CCUACGGGAGGCAGCAGUGAGGAAUAUUGGUCAAUGGGAGAGAUCCUGAACCAGCCACGCCGCGUGAGGGAAGACGGCCCUAUGGGUUGUAAACCUCUUUUGUCGGAGAACAAAACCCUCGACGUGUCCCGGACUGCGUGUAUCCGAAGCAAAAGCAUCGGCUAACUCCGUGCCAGCAGCCGCGGUAAUACGGAGGUUUCGUGCGUUAUCCGGAUUUAUUGGGUUAAAGGGGGGCCUAGGCGGUCCUGUAAUUCCGCGGUAAAAUGGCGGGGCUAAAACCGGUCGCGCCGUGGAAACUGGCAGACGUGAGUAGGCGAGAGGUACGCGGAAUGCGCGGUGUAGCGGUGAAAUGCAUAGAGAUCACGAAGAACUCCGAUUGCGAAGGCAGCGUACCGGCGCCAGACUGACGCUGAGGCACGAAAGCGUGGGGAUCGAACAGGAUUAGAUACCCGGGUAGUC
RNAcentral lists this ribosomal RNA (459 nucleotides) under uncultured bacterium. RNAcentral's name for it is "partial 16S ribosomal RNA". It matches the Rfam family "Bacterial small subunit ribosomal RNA", at positions 338 to 795 of the family's 1533-position model. The record is from RNAcentral.